This 615-nucleotide ribosomal RNA is filed under the name Staphylococcus aureus. RNAcentral describes it as "bacterial SSU rRNA". It matches the Rfam family "Bacterial small subunit ribosomal RNA", at positions 1 to 598 of the family's 1533-position model. Lineage: Bacteria; Bacillati; Bacillota; Bacilli; Caryophanales; Staphylococcaceae. The record is from RNAcentral.
UUUAUGGAGAGUUUGAUCCUGGCUCAGGAUGAACGCUGGCGGCGUGCCUAAUACAUGCAAGUCGAGCGAACGGACGAGAAGCUUGCUUCUCUGAUGUUAGCGGCGGACGGGUGAGUAACACGUGGAUAACCUACCUAUAAGACUGGGAUAACUUCGGGAAACCGGAGCUAAUACCGGAUAAUAUUUUGAACCGCAUGGUUCAAAAGUGAAAGACGGUCUUGCUGUCACUUAUAGAUGGAUCCGCGCUGCAUUAGCUAGUUGGUAAGGUAACGGCUUACCAAGGCAACGAUGCAUAGCCGACCUGAGAGGGUGAUCGGCCACACUGGAACUGAGACACGGUCCAGACUCCUACGGGAGGCAGCAGUAGGGAAUCUUCCGCAAUGGGCGAAAGCCUGACGGAGCAACGCCGCGUGAGUGAUGAAGGUCUUCGGAUCGUAAAACUCUGUUAUUAGGGAAGAACAUAUGUGUAAGUAACUGUGCACAUCUUGACGGUACCUAAUCAGAAAGCCACGGCUAACUACGUGCCAGCAGCCGCGGUAAUACGUAGGUGGCAAGCGUUAUCCGGAAUUAUUGGGCGUAAAGCGCGCGUAGGCGGUUUUUUAAGUCUGAUGUGAA